This 492-nucleotide ribosomal RNA is filed under the name uncultured bacterium. Its description in RNAcentral is "partial 16S ribosomal RNA". It matches the Rfam family "Bacterial small subunit ribosomal RNA", at positions 29 to 507 of the family's 1533-position model. The record is from RNAcentral.
AGUGAACGCUGGCGGUAGGCCUAACACAUGCAAGUCGAACGGCAGCACAGUAAGAGCUUGCUCUUACGGGUGGCGAGUGGCGGACGGGUGAGGAAUACAUCGGAAUCUACUUUUUCGUGGGGGAUAACGUAGGGAAACUUACGCUAAUACCGCAUACGACCUACGGGUGAAAGCAGGGGAUCUUCGGACCUUGCGCGAUUGAAUGAGCCGAUGUCGGAUUAGCUAGUUGGCGGGGUAAAGGCCCACCAAGGCGACGAUCCGUAGCUGGUCUGAGAGGAUGAUCAGCCACACUGGAACUGAGACACGGUCCAGACCCCUACGGGAGGCAGCAGUGGGGAAUAUUCGACAAUGGGCGCAAGCCUGAUCCAGCCAUACCGCGUGGGUGAAGAAGGCCUUCGGGUUGUAAAGCCCUUUUGUUGGGAAAGAAAAGCAGCAGGUUAAUACCCCGCUGUUCUGACGGUACCCAAAGAAUAAGCACCGGCUAACUUCGUG